AGUGAACGCUGGCGGUAGGCCUAACACAUGCAAGUCGAACGGCAGCACAGUAAGAGCUUGCUCUUACGGGUGGCGAGUGGCGGACGGGUGAGGAAUACAUCGGAAUCUACUUUUUCGUGGGGGAUAACGUAGGGAAACUUACGCUAAUACCGCAUACGACCUACGGGUGAAAGCAGGGGAUCUUCGGACCUUGCGCGAUUGAAUGAGCCGAUGUCGGAUUAGCUAGUUGGCGGGGUAAAGGCCCACCAAGGCGACGAUCCGUAGCUGGUCUGAGAGGAUGGACCAGCACACUGGAACUUGGGACCGGUCCCGGCUCCUACGGGAGGGAGGAGGUGGGGAUAUUGGGCAAAGGGGGGAAAGCUUGUCCAAGCCUUCCGGGGGGGUUGAAGAAGGCUUCCGGUUGGAAAAGCCCUUUUGUUGGGAAAGAAAGCAGGCAGUUUAUUCCCCGCUGUUCUGACGGGAACCAAAAGAUAAGCACCGGCUAACUUCCUG
RNAcentral lists this ribosomal RNA (492 nucleotides) under uncultured bacterium. RNAcentral describes it as "partial 16S ribosomal RNA". It matches the Rfam family "Bacterial small subunit ribosomal RNA", at positions 29 to 507 of the family's 1533-position model. The record is from RNAcentral.